UUGAACGCUGGCGGCAGGCCUAACACCUGCAAGUCGCGCGGAUGAAGGGGGCUUGCUCCUGGAUUCAGCGGCGGACGGGUGAGUAAUGCCUAGGAAUCUGCCUGGUAGUGGGGGAUAACGUCCGGAAACGGGCGCUAAUACCGCAUACGUCCUGAGGGAGAAAGUGGGGGAUCUUCGGACCUCACGCUAUCAGAUGAGCCUAGGUCGGAUUAGCUAGUUGGUGGGGUAAAGGCCUACCAAGGCGACGAUCCGUAACUGGUCUGAGAGGAUGAUCAGUCACACUGGAACUGAGACACGGUCCAGACUCCUACGGGAGGCAGCAGUGGGGAAUAUUGGACAAUGGGCGAAAGCCUGAUCCAGCCAUGCCGCGUGGGUGAAGAAGGUCUUCGGAUUGUAAAGCACUUUAAGUUGGGAGGAAGGGCAGUAAGUUAAUAACUUGCUGUUUUGACGGUACCAACAGAAUAAGCACCGGCUAACUUCGUG
Molecule: ribosomal RNA, 483 nt
Filed under: uncultured bacterium
Lineage: Bacteria
Description: partial 16S ribosomal RNA
Rfam family: Bacterial small subunit ribosomal RNA
Source: RNAcentral